This 850-nucleotide ribosomal RNA is filed under the name uncultured Zetaproteobacteria bacterium. Its description in RNAcentral is "bacterial SSU rRNA". It matches the Rfam family "Bacterial small subunit ribosomal RNA", at positions 1 to 847 of the family's 1533-position model. The record is from RNAcentral. Lineage: Bacteria; Pseudomonadati; Pseudomonadota; Candidatius Mariprofundia.
UAGGGUUUGAUCCUGGCUCAGAACGAACGCUGGCGGCGUGCCUAACACAUGCAAGUCGUACGGCAGCAGGCCCUUCGGGGUGCUGGCGAGUGGCGCACGGGUGAGUAACGCGUGGGUUACCUGCCCAUCAGUGGGGGAUAACCCCGGGAAACCGGGGCUAAUACCGCAUACGUCCUACGGGAGAAAGCUGGCCUCUGCUUGCAAGCUGGCGCUGAUGGAUGGGCCCGCGUCGGAUUAGCCAGUUGGUAGGGUAACGGCCUACCAAGGCGAUGAUCCGUAGCUGGUCUGAGAGGAUGAUCAGCCACACUGGAACUGAGACACGGUCCAGACUCCUACGGGAGGCAGCAGUGGGGAAUAUUGCGCAAUGGGCGAAAGCCUGACGCAGCGACGCCGCGUGCGGGAAGAAGGCCUUCGGGUUGUAAACCGCUUUCAGCAGGGAAGAAGGGAUGCGGGUGAACAGCCUGCUGACUUGACGGUACCUGCAGAAGAAGCACCGGCUAAUUUCGUGCCAGCAGCCGCGGUAAUACGAAAGGUGCGAGCGUUGUUCGGAUUUACUGGGCGUAAAGCGGGCGUAGGCGGCUUGCCAAGUCGGAUGUGAAAUCCCGGGGCUCAACCCCGGAAUUGCAUCCGAUACUGGCGGGCUGGAGUUCGGGAGAGGGUAGCGGGAAUUCCGUGUGUAGCAGUGAAAAUGCGUAGAUAUACGGAGGAACACCAGAGGCGAAGGCGGCUACCUGGACCGAUACUGACGCUGAGGCCCGAAAGCGUGGGAGCAAACAGGAUUAGAUACCCUGGUAGUCCACGCCCUAAACGAUGUCGACUAGCCCGUUGCGGGUAUCGACCCCUGCAGUGC